Molecule: long non-coding RNA, 1426 nt
Filed under: Ursus maritimus (polar bear)
Lineage: Eukaryota; Metazoa; Chordata; Mammalia; Carnivora; Ursidae
Description: lncRNA (ENSUMAG00000018019.1)
Source: RNAcentral
AUGCCUGGCACGGAAAGAUGCAGCCCGUCACUCAGAGAGGCUGAUGAAUGCGCGGCACUUAGAAUGGUUGAGUGGAGAACUGGAGUCAGAAAUGACUGUGCCUCCUCCUCUGAAUCUUACCAUACCAUUUACCUAAGAGCGUCAGUCUUCCUCAGCGGCACGAACAUUCUAUCUGAUCACUGUCUUGAAAUGCAGAAGAGAACCAGAUUCUGGAAGUCCUGGUUCCUUCAGCUCUGCUUCCUUCACAUAUUCUGGAAGAAUGGCAGCAGAAAAGGGAUCAGAGGCAGCCACAGACCCUGGUUGGGGGGGCAGAUGAAGGCAGAAGAGAGAUCGAUUUGCCUCUGGUUACUUGAAUCACUGGGACUGCCUGGCACUGGGCUUAUGUCAUAUUCACGGAUCAACCCAGUACUACUGGGAAGCUCCUGAGUUAGAUGCCAAUUCCCAAAUAUGACCGAACACGUUGCAGAAGGAACGUUAGAUCGUCUGCAGUGCACCAUCUGGACGCCCUGUGCAAUGCAAAUUCUUCUUUGAGACCUGGUGACCAGGUGAGCAGACUCCUUGACCCCAUUUUAUUCACAGGGGACAUUUUACACACCCUCCUUUUUGUAUGUGUUGGUUUGGUUCGUUCUAUUUCGGUGAUCUUGCAAUGAGCCUGCAUUUCCAAGUGUUCUAGAUCGCCCUUUCUCUAAAAUCUAAGCCGAGAUAAGCAGAACUUCCAGAGGACAAGAAAGCAUUUCCUCUUCCGGAAAAGGAAGGUGUGGUGGAUUAAAGAAUUUUUCCAUCCAUUCCUCCAGGAAGGCCGGGGCAGGGCUGCUCAUCAGCUUUGAGAAGUUUUAAAGGCGCAGACUGCUUGCUCCACAUGCUGCCCCCUGCCCCCCAAAUUAAAAGCUAUGCACACCUUGGUGGAGGGGAAACCUGAGGGCGUGUGGGAUCAGUGUUGGAAAUCAGCAGGGAACAGGCUUGAUCUUGACAGUAAGGGUGUGGGGGAGUAUCCUUAACUAAUUCUGAGUCACCAGGAGACCGAUUUUCCAGCAGGGGGAGGAUCGAAAGAGGUAGGAACACCCAGUUCAAGCUGCUUCAACUUGGUACAUUGCAGAGGGCAGCCUGAUGGAUUUUGCUGCAUCGCCGCGUUCUCCUUGUGAACACGCUCCCCCCAGAUCAGUGUCUUCAAGGAGCUGCCUUGCACGGAUCUGAUGGAGGGAUAAAUAUACUUGUAUCUAACAUAAAAAUUUGAGAACUUCCGUCUUCAACUACUCGCACGUCAAUCUCUUGCUAUGCCUCACGGGGGCUGGGAGAACAAGAGUCAAAUUCACAUAGUUACCCGCUUCAGAGAAAAUCAGGGCUCAUCUUUGGGUUAUACUGUUCCUUCCCAGGGGGUGACGCUAAGGCGGAACUUACUGGGCCACCGUCUUGUCUUCACGGUGCC